Molecule: ribosomal RNA, 427 nt
Filed under: uncultured bacterium
Lineage: Bacteria
Description: partial 16S ribosomal RNA
Rfam family: Bacterial small subunit ribosomal RNA
Source: RNAcentral
UGGGGAAUAUUGCACAAUGGGCGCAAGCCUGAUGCAGCCAUGCCGCGUGUAUGAAGAAGGCCUUCGGGUUGUAAAGUACUUUCAGCGGGGAGGAAGGCGAUGCGGUUAAUAACCGCGUCGAUUGACGUUACCCGCAGAAGAAGCACCGGCUAACUCCGUGCCAGCAGCCGCGGUAAUACGGAGGGGGCAAGCGUUAAUCGGCAUUACUGGGCGUAAAGCGCACGCAGGCGGUCUGUCAAGUCGGAUGUGAAAUCCCCGGGCUCAACCUGGGAACUGCAUCCGAAACUGGCAGGCUUGAGUCUCGUAGAGGGGGGUAGAAUUCCAGGUGUAGCGGUGAAAUGCGUAGAGAUCUGGAGGAAUACCGGUGGCGAAGGCGGCCCCCUGGACGAAGACUGACGCUCAGGUGCGAAAGCGUGGGGAGCAAACA